GCACAUGUAGAUUAUGUAAAUUUCUAGGCUGUUAACUUGGAGAAGGUUCUUGCGGGCCUGUGUGCG
RNAcentral lists this transfer RNA (66 nucleotides) under Tanaisia sp. SS-2020. Its description in RNAcentral is "tRNA-Asn". Lineage: Eukaryota; Metazoa; Platyhelminthes; Trematoda; Plagiorchiida; Eucotylidae. The record is from RNAcentral.